CGUCACCGCUGGCUAUUUCCCAAAGCAAAGAUGGCGGAAGGAGUGUGUCUGCUGAUGGUGUGGAGGAGGACUCUUCUUCUUUUAAUAUCUUUUCGGAUAGACUAUGUGACGUCGGCAUUGGUGAUAACAGAAAUGACGGAGGCUCGCGAAUUAAGAUCCUAUAGGAACUACCACGAAGUGGAAAUGCACCAUUAUACCAUCCCUAGUCAAAUAUCGUUAGCCAGCUGGGAAUUCAAAGCUAAUGGAACAUCGUCGUGCGUUUCAAAAAGUAUUGUUGUGUAAGUUGCCCCCUUUUGCCAUCUAUUAGUUACCAAACGGCGAAAAACUAUCCAGAGAAAAGAAUAAAAUGCCAUCAUUCAAAAUAAAUGGAAAUCCAUUGGAUCCAAUAUUAGAUUUAGCCAACUCGUAUCCAGAAAUUGGUUGUGUCUGUCGAAUAGGAACAAACAUUCUAUUAUUUCUUUAGAUUUUUUUUGUCCUAUUGGGAAAGAAGAAAGAUCGGUGCACAAACUGGCAAACCAUUGAUUGGCCCGAUGAUCUUUUAUUACCAGUAGUUAAACGUCAAGAUGGUAAGGACUGAUAGAAUUAAAUCUGUGAUUUAUGAAGAGCUUUUCCCGUCUGGCUUGUAUGUUCCGAAUUGAAGCUUUCUAUGGCUGUGCCACCUUCAUACAAUGAAACACUCUAAAAGAUUUGUUACCAGCUAAUUUUAAUAGACGUCGUCUGUCUCCACCGUUAAUUUACGAGUUUCCAACAAUUAGAUUAUUGCAUUCUUUCAGUUUUAAUUUUAGAAAAUUUAUUUAUUUCUUAAUAGCGGUAGUAGGCUGUUAAAGCCAUAUUAAAAUAGAUUUUCAAUGACUAUAGAAUUAAGAAAAAAAUUUUUUCUCUCGAAAAAGUGCAUUUAUGUUUAGUUUUGUAAUAGGGAGAAAAAUAUUUUAGUCCGAAGUAGUGGUAUGUGCUCUAUCGCAGAAUUUAUGAAUAGAGUUUAUCGUCUUUAUAGGUGAGGAAAAAUUGGUCCGGAAUAAGUAUGGAAAUUGGCAAAAUAACUUUUUACAAAGUAUCGCUGAUUUCUCUCCAAGGAUUUUUAAAGCUUUUAACAGAAUAUUAAGAUUUGAAAUGAUUAAAUUUUAUAUAUACGAUUGAUUUUUGAUUUAGG
This 1150-nucleotide long non-coding RNA is filed under the name Androctonus crassicauda. Lineage: Eukaryota; Metazoa; Arthropoda; Arachnida; Scorpiones; Buthidae. The record is from RNAcentral.